UACGGAGGGAGCUAGCGUUGUUCGGAAUUACUGGGCGUAAAGCGCACGUAGGCGGCUAUUCAAGUCGGGGGUGAAAGCCCGGAGCUCAACUCCGGAACUGCCAUUGAAACUGUUGGACUUGAGUACGAGAGAGGUGAGUGGAAUUCCCAGUGUAGAGGUGAAAUUCGUAGAUAUUGGGAAGAACACCGGUGGCGAAGGCGGCUCACUGGCUCGUAACUGACGCUCAGGCGCGACAGCGUGGGGAUCAAACAGG
Molecule: ribosomal RNA, 253 nt
Filed under: uncultured bacterium
Lineage: Bacteria
Description: partial 16S ribosomal RNA
Rfam family: Bacterial small subunit ribosomal RNA
Source: RNAcentral